RNAcentral lists this ribosomal RNA (520 nucleotides) under uncultured Glomus. RNAcentral's name for it is "SSU rRNA". It matches the Rfam family "Eukaryotic small subunit ribosomal RNA", at positions 569 to 1090 of the family's 1831-position model. Lineage: Eukaryota; Fungi; Glomeromycota; Glomeromycetes; Glomerales; Glomeraceae. The record is from RNAcentral.
AGCAGCCGCGGUAAUUCCAGCUCCAAUAGCGUAUAUUAAAGUUGUUGCAGUUAAAAAGCUCGUAGUUGAAUUUCGGGAUCAAUACGUUGGUCGUGCUUUCGGGUACGUACUGGCGUCGUUGGUUUCUCUCUUCUGACGAACCAUGAUGUCAUUAGUUUGGUGUUAUGGGGAGUUAGGACUGUUACUUUGAAAAAAUUAGAGUGUUUAAAGCAGGCAUUAGCUUGAAUACAUUAGCAUGGAAUAAUGAAAUAGGACGUUUGAUCCUAUUUUGUUGGUUUCUAGGAUCGACGUAAUGAUUAAUAGGGAUAGUUGGGGGCAUUAGUAUUCAAUUGUCAGAGGUGAAAUUCUUGGAUUUAUUGAAGACUAACUACUGCGAAAGCAUUUGCCAAGGAUGUUUUCAUUAAUCAAGAACGAAAGUUAGGGGAUCGAAGACGAUCAGAUACCGUCGUAGUCUUAACCAUAAACUAUGCCGACUAGGGAUCGGAUGAUGUUAAUUUUUAAUGACUCAUUCGGCGCCUUA